GAUGAACGCUAGCGGCAGGCUUAACACAUGCAAGUCGAGGGGUAACAGGGAAGAGCUUGCUUUUCCGCUGACGACCGGCGCACGGGUGAGUAACGCGUAUAGAACCUACCUUUUACAGGGGAAUAGCCCAGAGAAAUUUGGAUUAAUGCCCUAUAGUAUUAUUGAAUGGCAUCAUUUAGUAAUUAAACAUUUAUGGGUAAAAGAUGGCUAUGCGUUCUAUUAGCUAGAUGGUAAGGUAACGGCUUACCAUGGCAACGAUAGAUAGGGGUCCUGAGAGGGAGAUCCCCCACACUGGUACUGAGACACGGACCAGACUCCUACGGGAGGCAGCAGUGAGGAAUAUUGGACAAUGGAGGCAACUCUGAUCCAGCCAUGCCGCGUGCAGGAAGACGGCCCUAUGGGUUGUAAACUGCUUUUAUACGGGAAGAAACCCAACUACGUGUAGUUGGCUGACGGUACCGUAAGAAUAAGCACCGGCUAACUCCGUGCCAGCAGCCGCGGUAAUACGGAGGGUGCAAGCGUUAUCCGGAAUCAUUGGGUUUAAAGGGUCCGUAGGCGGGCUAAUAAGUCAGGGGUGAAAUCCAACAGCUUAACUGUUGAACUGCCUUUGAUACUGUUAGUCUUGAAUUAUAUGGAAGUAGAUAGAAUGUGUAGUGUAGCGGUGAAAUGCUUAGAGAUUACACAGAAUACCG
Molecule: ribosomal RNA, 692 nt
Filed under: Lutibacter sp.
Lineage: Bacteria; Pseudomonadati; Bacteroidota; Flavobacteriia; Flavobacteriales; Flavobacteriaceae
Description: bacterial SSU rRNA
Rfam family: Bacterial small subunit ribosomal RNA
Source: RNAcentral